RNAcentral lists this small RNA (29 nucleotides) under Bombyx mori (domestic silkworm). RNAcentral describes it as "ovarian small RNA-6213". Lineage: Eukaryota; Metazoa; Arthropoda; Insecta; Lepidoptera; Bombycidae. The record is from RNAcentral.
UACUUAUCAAUUAAUGCCACAUGGAAGGA